Molecule: ribosomal RNA, 440 nt
Filed under: uncultured bacterium
Lineage: Bacteria
Description: partial 16S ribosomal RNA
Rfam family: Bacterial small subunit ribosomal RNA
Source: RNAcentral
CCUACGGGUGACAGCAGUGGGGAAUAUUGCACAAUGGGGGAAACCCUGAUGCAGCGACGCCGCGUGAGUGACGAAGUCUUUCGGUAUGUAAAGCUCUAUCAGCAGGGGAGAAAAUGACGGUACCUGAUUAUGAAGCCUCGGCUAACUACGUACCAGCAGCCGCGGUACUACGUAGGGGGCAAGCGUUAUCCGGAUUUACUGGGUGUAAAGGGAGCCUAGACGGGUGCACAAGUCUGGAGGGAAAUGCCGGGGCUUAACCCCGGAACUGCUUUGGAACCUGUGCAGCUAGAGUGCAGGAGAGGUAAGUGGAAUUCGUAGUGUAGCGGUGAAAUGCGUAGAUAUUAGGAGGAACACCAGUAGCGAAGGCAGCUUACUGGACUGUAACUGACGUUGAGGCUCGAAAGCGUGGGGAGCAAACAGGAUUAGAUACCCGUGUAGUC